Molecule: ribosomal RNA, 253 nt
Filed under: uncultured bacterium
Lineage: Bacteria
Description: partial 16S ribosomal RNA
Rfam family: Bacterial small subunit ribosomal RNA
Source: RNAcentral
UACGGGGGGGGCAAGCGUUGUUCGGAAUUACUGGGCGUAAAGGGUUUGUAGGUGGCCCGCUAAGUCACACGUGAAAUCCCUCAGCUUAACUGGGGAACUGCGUGUGAGACUGGCAGGCUUGAGUGCAGGAGAGGAACGCGGAAUUCCAGGUGUAGCGGUGAAAUGCGUAGAUAUCUGGAGGAACACCGGUGGCGAAGGCGGCAUCCUGGACCGACAUUGACGCUGAGGCGCGAAAGCCAGGGGAGCAAACGGG